CAACGUAGGGAACCUGCCCAUGCGGCCGGGACAACUUCCGGAAACGGAUGCUGAUACCGGAUAAGGAAAGCGAAGGCAUCUUUGCUUUGUUAAAGGAGCUGCAAGGCUCCGCGCAUGGAUGGACCUGCGGUGCAUUAGCUGGUUGGUGAGGUAAAGGCUCACCAAGGCGACGAUGCAUAGCCGGCCUGAGAGGGCGAACGGCCACACUGGGACUGAGACACGGCCCAGACUCCUACGGGAGGCAGCAG
This 248-nucleotide ribosomal RNA is filed under the name uncultured bacterium. RNAcentral describes it as "partial 16S ribosomal RNA". It matches the Rfam family "Bacterial small subunit ribosomal RNA", at positions 113 to 354 of the family's 1533-position model. The record is from RNAcentral.